This 788-nucleotide ribosomal RNA is filed under the name Russula sp. Its description in RNAcentral is "partial large subunit ribosomal RNA". It matches the Rfam family "Eukaryotic large subunit ribosomal RNA", at positions 76 to 840 of the family's 3401-position model. Lineage: Eukaryota; Fungi; Basidiomycota; Agaricomycetes; Russulales; Russulaceae. The record is from RNAcentral.
UCCCCUAGUAACUGCGAGUGAAGCGGGAAAAGCUCAAAUUUAAAAUCUGGUGGUCUUUGGCCAUCCGAGUUGUAAUUUAGAGAAGCGUCUUCCGCGCUGGACCAUGCACAAGUCUCCUGGAAUGGAGCGUCAUAGAGGGUGAGAAUCCCGUCUUUGGCAUGGACCCCAGGGCUUCUGUGAUGCGCUCUCAAAGAGUCGAGUUGUUUGGGAAUGCAGCUCAAAAUGGGUGGUGAACUCCAUCUAAAGCUAAAUAUUGGCGAGAGACCGAUAGCGAACAAGUACCGUGAGGGAAAGAUGAAAAGCACUUUGGAAAGAGAGUGAAACAGUACGUGAAAUUGUUGAAAGGGAAACGCUUGAAGUCAGUCGCGUCGACCGAGACUCAGCCUUGCCUCGGCUUGGUGUACUUCUCGGACCGACGGGUCAGCAUCAAUUUCGAUCCUUGGAUAAUGGCAAGGGAAAGGUGGCACCUUUACAGGUGUGUUAUAGUCCUCUGUCGCAUGCAAGGGUCGGGAUUGAGGAACUCAGCAUGCACCUCAUCGGUGUCGGGGCCUCGGCCUACGUUACGUGCUUAGGAUGCUGGCAUAAUGGCUUUAAACGACCCGUCUUGAAACACGGACCAAGGAGUCUAACAUGCACGCGAGUGUUCGGGUGGAAAACCCGUGCGCGUAAUGAAAGUAAAAGUUGGGACCUCUGUCGUGGAGGGCACCGACGCCCGGACCAGACCUUCUGUGACGGCUCUGCGGUAGAGCGUGUAUGUUGGGACCCGAAAGAUGGUGAACUAUGCCUGA